Molecule: non-coding RNA, 235 nt
Organism: Podarcis lilfordi (Lilford's wall lizard)
Lineage: Eukaryota; Metazoa; Chordata; Lepidosauria; Squamata; Lacertidae
Source: the annotation of a GenBank genome assembly
CGUAGCUCAGUCAGUAGAGCAUGAGACUCUUAGGCUGGAUCGACAUUGAUCUGUAAAAACGUCAUUAAAUAUAACGCUAUAUAACUCUCAGUGCAAUUUUCCAUUACUGAAGGCUCGCUGCUCUAUAGCGCCCUGUAGUGUCACAUUUUAAUAACACAUUUUAAACAUUAUAGACAACCAGUGUAGAUCCGUUCUUAAUCUCAGGAUUGUGGGUUCAACGCCCACAUGGGCAAGA